This 540-nucleotide ribosomal RNA is filed under the name uncultured bacterium. RNAcentral describes it as "bacterial SSU rRNA". It matches the Rfam family "Bacterial small subunit ribosomal RNA", at positions 354 to 894 of the family's 1533-position model. The record is from RNAcentral.
GUAGGGAAUAUUGGGCAAUGGUGGACACACUGACCCAGCCAUGCCGCGUGCCGGAAGACGGCCCUCUGGGUUGUAAACGGCUUUUAAUCGGGAAGAAAAAGCUCCUUGCGAGGGGCCUUGACGGUACCGACAGAAUCAGCACCGGCUAACUCCGUGCCAGCAGCCGCGGUAAUACGGAGGGUGCGAGCGUUGUCCGGAUUUAUUGGGUUUAAAGGGUGCGUAGGCGGGAAGAUAAGUCAGGGGUGAAAGACGGCUGCUCAACAGUCGCAGUGCCCUUGAUACUGUUUUUCUUGGGUUGAGGUGAGGUAGGCGGAAUGGAGGCUGUAGCGGUGAAAUGCAUAGAUAGCCUCCAGAACUCCGAUUGCGAAGGCAGCUUACUGGUCUCACACCGACGCUGAGGCACGAGAGUGUGGGGAUCAAACAGGAUUAGAUACCCUGGUAGUCCACACUGUAAACGAUGAGAACUCGCCGUUGGGAUGCAAAUCUCAGUGGCUUAGGGAAACCGCUAAGUUCUCCACCUGGGGAGUACGCUCGCAAGAG